RNAcentral lists this transfer RNA (71 nucleotides) under Loxodonta africana (African savanna elephant). It matches the Rfam family "tRNA". From Rfam's summary of the family: Transfer RNA (tRNA) molecules are approximately 80 nucleotides in length. Their secondary structure includes four short double-helical elements and three loops (D, anti-codon, and T loops). Further hydrogen bonds mediate the characteristic L-shaped molecular structure. tRNAs have two regions of fundamental functional importance: the anti-codon, which is responsible for specific mRNA codon recognition, and the 3' end, to which the tRNAs corresponding amino acid is attached (by aminoacyl-tRNA synthetases). tRNAs cope with the degeneracy of the genetic code in two manners: having more than one tRNA (with a specific anti-codon) for a particular amino acid; and 'wobble' base-pairing, i.e. permitting non-standard base-pairing at the 3rd anti-codon position. The record is from Rfam by way of RNAcentral. Lineage: Eukaryota; Metazoa; Chordata; Mammalia; Proboscidea; Elephantidae.
GCAUUGGUGGCUUAGUGGUAGAAUUCUUGACUUCCAUGGGGGAGACCCAGGUUUGAUUCCUGGCCAAUGCA